GUGCUGGCUUCACACGCACUUACACUAAAAUUGGGAGGAUGCAGAGAAAAAUAACAUGGUCCCUGCACACUGAUGCCCCACAAAUUCUCCAAGUGUUCCAUAUUUUA
Molecule: small nuclear RNA, 107 nt
Organism: Talpa occidentalis (Iberian mole)
Lineage: Eukaryota; Metazoa; Chordata; Mammalia; Eulipotyphla; Talpidae
Source: RefSeq, a predicted model, not a curated record